CUUUACUGCAACUUGGCAGUGAUUUUCGGGAUGUUCUGCGUAGGAUAGGUGGGAGGCUUUGAAGCUGGGCUUCUGGGUUCAGCUGAGCCAACGUUGAAAUACCACCCUGGAUAUUCUGGAAAUCUAACCUAGGCCCGUGAUCCGGGCCAGGGACACUGCCUGGCGGGCAGUUUGACUGGGGCGGUCGCCUCCAAAAAAGUAACGGAGGCGUGCGAAGGUUCCCUCAGCCUGAUUGGAAACCAGGCGUAGAGUGCAAACGCACAAGGGAGCUUAACUGUGAGACCGACAGGUCGAACAGGUGCGAAAGCAGGCGUUAGUGAUCCGGUGGUUCUGCAUGGAAGGGCCAUCGCUUAUCGGAUAAAAGGUA
Molecule: ribosomal RNA, 367 nt
Filed under: uncultured organism
Description: bacterial LSU rRNA
Rfam family: Bacterial large subunit ribosomal RNA
Source: RNAcentral